This 418-nucleotide ribosomal RNA is filed under the name uncultured eukaryote. RNAcentral's name for it is "bacterial SSU rRNA". It matches the Rfam family "Eukaryotic small subunit ribosomal RNA", at positions 592 to 1018 of the family's 1831-position model. The record is from RNAcentral.
CAAUAGCGUAUAUUAAAGUUGUUGCAGUUAAAAAGCUCGUAGUUGGAUUUCUGGUAGUGGGUUAGAGCGCACAUGCGUGAUGCUCGCGUCCAUUGCCAUCCUUCUGUUAACCUUUCAGGGCAUUCAUUUGCCAGUUAGGGGCUCAGAUAUUUUACCUUUGAGAAAAUUAGAGUGUUUCAGGCAGGCUUGUGCCCGGAUACAUUAGCAUGGAAUAAUAAGAUAGGACCUUGGUACUAUUUUGUUGGUUUUGCGCACCAAGGUAAUGAUUAAUAGGGCCAGUUGGGGGUAGUUCGUAUUCCAUUGUCAGAGGUGAAAUUCUUGGAUUUUUGGAAGACGAACUACUGCGAAAGCAUUUACCAAGGAUGUUUUCAUUAAUUCAAGAACGAAAGUUAGGGGAUCGAAGAUGAUCAGAUACCGU